Molecule: unclassified non-coding RNA, 266 nt
Filed under: Bryoscyphus sp.
Lineage: Eukaryota; Fungi; Ascomycota; Leotiomycetes; Helotiales; Helotiaceae
Also listed under: 1 other name
Description: partial contains 5.8S ribosomal RNA, internal transcribed spacer 2, and large subunit ribosomal RNA
Rfam family: 5.8S ribosomal RNA (bases 1-52)
Source: RNAcentral
AACGCACAUUGCGCCCUCUGGUAUUCCAGAGGGCAUACCUGUUUGAGCGUCAUUUCAUUCUUAAAUCUAUGGAUUUAGUGUUGGACAAUUCUUCGAAAGAAGAUGGUCUGAAAUGAAUUUUGGCAGAGGCGACUAUAUAAGCUUUUACAACGUAUUAGGUUUUACCAUCUCGUUGGAAAUAUACGGUGAAUAUAGCAGCUUUGGCGUUAUAACUAAAACUUCAAAAGUUUGACCUCAAAUCAGGCAAGAUUACCCGCUGAACUUAA